AAUAUCUUGCAUGUUACAGAUUUCACUACUCCCACCAGCUUGGAGACAACAUGUGGUUCUUGACAACUCUGCUCCUUUGGGUUCCAGUUGAUGGGCAAGUGGGUGAGUGAUCUCUAACUCAGCUUCUCCUUCUAUGCCACUUUCCUACUUCCAAAGGAUGGGUCCUAUUAACCUGCAGAAGAGCAUAUAGAGAAAGCAGAGAAAGAAGAAAGAUUUAUAAAUUAUGUAAAAUCUCCCAUAUUCAGAGCAUGAUUUUCAUAAAAACUAUGAUUUGUAGGCUUUCUUUCUAAAGUUUUCUGAAUGAGCUCUUUCCUCUGAGCGAAAUGCCUGAAUGUAUAUAUAACAGCAGGAAAGGGCCAGAAUUGCACAAACACUAAAGUAGUCUGCUGACACUGAAGUAGUCUGCUGGGUUUCCCAACAUCCCCUAAACCAGUCCCCUUUACAAGAAAGCAGAGUGGGUUUUUUCUCCUCAGAAAGAGCCAGGCAAAUACUGAAGGCUUCAAAGAGAGGAGUUUGAACCUCCGUUUCCAAUGUACAAGCUGCUGAAGCCCUGCAACGUACUCUCAGAGACAGUAUAGCUCAGAGGAUAAGGAAAACAGCUCCGCUUGGCUUGCCCAAGUCUAAAACCCUGCUUCAUUGCUCCCAACAGAAAAACCUACAUCAGUAAUUUAAUCCUCAGGAGCCCCAGAUUCCCAACACCCAGAUGAGGAUUUAAUAACAAUGAACAGAGGUCUCUGCAGCAGGAGGACACUCUUAAAGGCUGGCUUUUGUAGGUUUCCACUUGCCUAUUUUUCAAAUAAAUCUAAAUAUGUAUUUUUCCCUUGUGCUAUCCACAAAAGCCUCACCAGUUGCUCAGAGCCCUCCCCUUUACUCCACUUGAUCUUUUUCUUUUUCUUCUUGUAAUCUCCAAGUAGACACCACAAAGGCAGUGAUCACUUUGCAGCCUCCAUGGGUCAGCGUGUUCCAAGAGGAAACCAUAACCUUGCACUGUGAGGUGCUCCAUCUGCCUGGGAGCAGCUCCACACAGUGGUUUCUCAAUGGCACAGCCACUCAGACCUCGACCCCCAGCUACAGAAUCACCUCUGCCAGUGUCAAUGACAGUGGUGAAUACAGGUGCCAGAGAGGUCUCUCAGGGCGAAGUGACCCCAUACAGCUGGAAAUCCACAGAGGCUGGCUACUACUGCAGGUCUCCAGC
Molecule: long non-coding RNA, 1195 nt
Organism: Homo sapiens (human)
Lineage: Eukaryota; Metazoa; Chordata; Mammalia; Primates; Hominidae
Gene: FCGR1BP
Product: Fc gamma receptor Ib, pseudogene
Source: Ensembl